GCUGUCACUUACAGAUGGGCCCGCGGCGCAUUAGCUAGUUGGUGAGGUAACGGCUCACCAAGGCCACGAUGCGUAGCCGACCUGAGAGGGUGAUCGGCCACACUGGGACUGAGACACGGCCCAGACUCCUACGGGAGGCAGCAGUAGGGAAUCUUCCGCAAUGGACGAAAGUCUGACGGAGCAACGCCGCGUGAGUGAUGAAGGUUUUCGGAUCGUAAAACUCUGUUGUUAGGGAAGAACAAGUAUCGGAGUAACUGCCGGUACCUUGACGGUACCUAACCAGAAAGCCACGGCUAACUACGUGCCAGCAGCCGCGGUAAUACGUAGGUGGCAAGCGUUGUCCGGAAUUAUUGGGCGUAAAGCGCGCGCAGGUGGUUCCUUAAGUCUGAUGUGAAAGCCCACGGCUCAACCGUGGAGGGUCAUUGGAAACUGGGGAACUUGAGUGCAGAAGAGGAAAGUGGAAUUCCAAGUGUAGCGGUGAAAUGCGUAGAGAUUUGGAGGAACACCAGUGGCGAAGGCGACUUUCUGGUCUGUAACUGACACUGAGGCGCGAAAGCGUGGGGAGCGAACAGGAUUAGAUACCCUGGUAGUCCACGCCGUAAACGAUGAGUGCUAAGUGUUAGAGGGU
This 628-nucleotide ribosomal RNA is filed under the name Cytobacillus horneckiae. RNAcentral describes it as "bacterial SSU rRNA". It matches the Rfam family "Bacterial small subunit ribosomal RNA", at positions 211 to 831 of the family's 1533-position model. Lineage: Bacteria; Bacillati; Bacillota; Bacilli; Caryophanales; Bacillaceae. The record is from RNAcentral.